This 2205-nucleotide long non-coding RNA is filed under the name Sparus aurata (gilthead seabream). RNAcentral describes it as "lncRNA (ENSSAUG00010017941.1)". Lineage: Eukaryota; Metazoa; Chordata; Actinopteri; Spariformes; Sparidae. The record is from RNAcentral.
AUUUUGCUUCCGGGACAGUGAUGGUGGUGUUUUUUUCCCAAAACUUUAUUAACCUCUCCGCACCCACCCGCCCGCCGACGGGCGAUUUCAGAUAAAUGACUGUAUGUCUACACUGCGCAGUGACGUAUCCCGCUUCAACUUUCAUCAAUAUGGACAUACUAUACGUCGUUAGAAAGAGGAGAAUCUCCGCAAUUCAUUCAUCCAGUUGAUUUUGCAGAAAUCAUGAGCACCAAACCAUAAAUCAUUGAUAUUCACCAGCAUGGUAAACGUGAGACACAAGAAACACACGGCGACUCCCUACCUUUGAAGCGGCCAUAAAGCCAUAAUAUGUGUCCAUUCCUCAAUUAUCUAUAUUCCAGUUGUCCGUAAGAAUCCACUGAUCAAAAGCAUCAAAAUGGUUUUUCAUAAAAUUAUUCCAGCUUGUGAAUAUCGUCCUGUAAAGUCCAUUUGUUUACCGUCUGCCAACUUUGUCCGGCAUAUAAAGUUCAUACUUUACCGGCCGCACCGAAAUGUUUUCUAGUUCCUGUAUGGUGAUGUUGGGUAUGCUUGUUUUCAUCACUUUGCUAGCUACAAAAUAAAAGUGUCCCCAUCUUUUUCUGUUCAGUUUUCACCCCAGCAGAGCCCCUGAAGUAGAUCGAGCGCUGCCUGUUUGAAGGACCAAUAGACUUUGUUUACUGUUUUUCGCUGCCUUAGUAUAGGAAUAGCGUAUUGGCUAUCGACAUGUCAAUAACUCAGGCUUCUAGCCAAUUAUUUUACCUUUCUAAUGAGGGCAGGCGUGCCCAGGUCAGGUAUUUAUGAGCCGAGGGGUUUCCGUGCGUCUGGCGACUCGUGGGCGGACUUUACGCAGCAGACGCACGGUGAAGAGACGCAGCAAACAUUUACAUUUCUUCGUAGGCAUUUUCAUAGUUUACAAUGGCGAAAGCCAGGAAGAAAUCCAAAUAUAUCCGAGAAGAUGACCAGGAAUGGACUAUAGCAUCAUCUGAUGAGAGUCAAGACAGUGAGUAUGACUCUGAGAGAGAGGAGAUGUUCGCUCAGGGACUUGACGACAUCUUAGAUCGGUCACAGUCUGACAGUGACGUGGAUUGGGAGCCUCAAAGUAGGACACUCAGACGCCAAACCCCAUCUCCUGCUGAAGGUGGUCGGCAGAUGCGGCAACGAUCGUCUGCAUCCACCAGUGCUACCUCCCCCGCUGCAUCUUUCACUGCCCCCUCUGGCUCAGGGGAAGCUGCAGCUUCUACACCAACUGCUGGACGUUCCCGUGCUGCCAGACGUGCCCGGGGGAGGGGCAGAAGAGGAGGAUCCUCCAGAGCACAUAGCUCCCACACGGAGGAACAACAGUGGCAUGAUGUGGGGGAUGACGACGUUGAGCCUGCUCAAGUUGCCUUCAUGCCAGUGAGACAGCCCGGACCACAGCAGGAGACCAGAGUGGCAACCAGUCCACUGCAGUUUUUCAGACUGUUUUUCACCGACGCAGUGCUUGGGACUUUGAUGGCAAACACUAAUAUUUUGUUGAUAUUGGCACAGUUAUACAUACAGUAAUAGUGUAUUGAUAGAUAAUACAAUCCUUGUUUGAAAUUCUGUAGUGUCUUGUCACAUGACAAUAUCUCAAUAUGGCCACCUAGAAGCGUGUGGAAACCCCUCCAACCACCCAUCAAAUGAAUGUGUGAAUAAAUUAUGUUUUGAAUCAUGGAGAAAGGUUUUAUAGUCACCAGAAUGCUUCAGUAAUGUUUCCAGUGUCACAGAAGUGAGUAAAAGCAUUUGGCACAAUUUGGCCAUUUGGAGACGUUUUGGAGAGGUUCGUGGACGCCAGUGACACCACAAACUAAAACCUCCAUAACUCCCAUAAGGAUAGGCCUAGAAGUCUAAAAUUUCACCCAGGUGUAGUUGACAAGAUGAGGAAGGUAUGUGCUAUAUUGCCAUAUGCCUUACAUAAAGCACAUCCUAGUUAUUGUUAUUCAAAUAUGACCUAUUAUUUUCGAAGACAAAAAAAAAUGUUUUAGAGCCAUGUUUGAACUGAUGUCAUUUUGGUUGUGUGUAUGGUACAUGCUAAAUAAACACAUUCACAGAAACUAGAGGUUGUCAGCUUUCAAAUGGCGUAUCAUACAUCCAUCUCGGACUUGUAGUUCUUGUGUUAUCAGCUUUUCCAUUUGGGUAUGCUAAAUAGGUGAAGUUACUGAAAAUAGGUGGGUGCGAACAGGUUAACAC